UGCAAGAAGAAAAACUAAGCAUUUGUGUCCAACCCUCGGUCAAGUCUCCAAGAAGAGAUUUACCUGACUCAACAUCAUAUAAGGAGUCACAGCAUCAGUGCAGGGAACACCCUUAUGCAGGUUGUUAUCGCACUAGAGGAACACCGUCAGAAGAGGUGGAGAACUCGGAGCCUGCCAAAGACAAACUUCAUGAGAAAAUCUUUACAGAAUUAACCGUGCGACGCUCACUUUACGACAAGAGGCAGCUGCAGAGGGACAGCUCCAUCCAAGAGAGGAGAGUCAGGCCAAAAACCAGAGACUAUCUCAGUCAUUCUUCUUCAACUUGGUACCCAAACUCCUUUUUAGCCCCCACACUUUCCUCACAGCCCUCCCCACACAGUCGACUGCAGACAGAGGCUUUCUACAUGUUGCAUCCUAAAGGUGCUGAAAGCAUCAUCUCAUACCCAGAGACAAUCUUUGAUCCCUAUCAAGCUGCACUGAACGCCGGGUGCAGCUACUUUCAUUUUGACCAAAGAUUUGUGAAAUGCAACAUCUUUCAAGACUUCUUUACGCCGCCUUUUUAUUUUCCCCUUGAUGUGCAGGAAGCAUGUUCUCUUAAAAGAGAUUCCCUCACUGUUUCAGAACACUGGAAGAAGACAUACAGAACACCUCUGAGUCUUCAGAGCUACUCUGAUUGAAACGACGGCCAAACCAUCACUCUGAUUUUACUGGAAAUUUUACUGGACUCCCAAAUAUUACUGGUUAAAAGUUUUUUUGUUUUUUUUUUUUCAUUUAUGAGCUGUAUGAUUGAAAUAUUUUACUGUAAAUCUAAAAAUAAAUUUGAUCAACCAGCACCACUAAAAAAAUAAAUAAGAUCCCACUUUAACUGGAAUCGUAUUAUUUCCCCUUACUUCAAGGUCAAAGUUUUGAAAUAUAGUGGGGCAAAAAAGUAUUUUUAAAAAAGUAUUUAAACAAUUGUGUAAGUGAGAGAGGCCUGUAAUUUUCCUCAUAGGUAUACGUCAAUUAUAGGAGACAAAAUUAGAAAAA
Molecule: long non-coding RNA, 1026 nt
Organism: Oryzias melastigma (Indian medaka)
Lineage: Eukaryota; Metazoa; Chordata; Actinopteri; Beloniformes; Adrianichthyidae
Exons: 2
Source: RefSeq, a predicted model, not a curated record